GUCCGGAGGGCUGGCAGCGGCGGCAGCUCAGGGGCAAAGUUUACUCCGUCCCCCGCUCCUCCCCCAGCCCGCCGGAGCUCAUUGGGAAAGGAGAAAGCCGGGGGGAAGGAGGGAGAGUUGGACGGGCACCAGGUGACAGGUGAACAAAUCACAGGUCUUGAGUUUCUCUACCCUGCCUCUCUUGGUAACGUCAUCUCCAGUACCAUCUGCUACCUACCAGACAAACAGACCAACCACAUAAUGAGGUACCAGCUUCCACCCAGCUACCGUGACUAAAUCAGAACAAAAGAUUCAACGCCUCCUUCAACAAAGGAACACAAGUCUAAGCUGUCUUUGCUAAUUGCUGGGUUUCAGGUUGUCUGUUACAGAUUUUAAGUGAGCUACAAACUUCCAUCAGAUACUUAGAGCUGUUGGAUAAAGGUACUAAGAACAAAAGAUAAAUGGAAGCAAAAGGCAAUGAUGUUGUUCUCCUAAAAUGUGAGACAGUUUGCUUCUUGUCAGCAAGUGGAGCUCAGCUCAGCUCUUCAUCUCCCUGAGCUGCUGGAGACAGACUAGCUUGCUUCAGAUUUACUUGCUCGAUAGACUGACUUGAAAUGAUUCUGGGAAAUGAUUGCUCCAUUCAUAUAUCACUUUUUGCGCUUCUUAUAUACCAAGUGAGACACUUUUAAAGUGAAAUAAAAUAAUAAAAUAAGCUUAUUAAGAAACACCAUUCAGUUUAAAAAUAGGACAUUUCUUGUCACAGAUGCUGUCCCCAGGCUGGAAAUGAGCGUAUUUAUAAAUAUGGUUUUAGUAUUCCAGGGUAAGAAAUGUUUAAUAUCUGUUUCUUUUUCUAAGUGAUUGCUAUCCUUACCCAGUAAGUGCAAAAAUGGUGUGUGAGUCACAGGAAAUUUAAGUGGUUUGUCUUGGGAAAAUUCGGUGGUAUGCAUUUUUUUGACGCACAUAGAGCUGUUGAAUGAAUAAUUGGCAACCUAUUUAAUGUCCUUUGCUUUAAAGCUGUCGAGUACAUUUGCUGUUUAAAAAAUGUCUUUCAAAGCUGUUAAAUAUGUAACAAAAAGAGGUUGCUAUCACCAUUCUGACACGAACAAAGCCAUACAGUGAGCUGCCCGAGGUACCUCCAGCAUGGUAUUAAUUACCAACGCAAUAAAAAAAGAAAAUGCGCAAAGUUCUCAAAUUUCGUUUCUUUGCAGUAUCAGCUGAUGAAUGUUUUUUAAAAACAUACAGUAAAAAUCUCAGUCCAGGCAUUAGCUGUUAAUUAUUACCUAAGCCAAGCACUUGGGGGAGAGCAGGGAAUCUGUUGGGUCUGUAAUUUCACCAGUUAGCCCUGACGAGUAAGAUCUCUGGCUGUCUCAGAAGCAAACCGACCUUAAAACAGUAACACACUUUCAAGAAGAUGAUCGGCUAAGAAUGUGCUUUAUUUUGAUUUGAAAAACUGUCAAUCAUAGGUAAAAAAGAGCAAAUAAUGUUUUUAUACAAUACGAGCUAAUUGUUCUUGUCUGAUAAACCAAGAAUAUGCAGGAAAAAUAAAUAAUAAAGUGUAAAAUGAAAAUAUUCAGAAUGUUUUGCCCAGAUGUUGUGUAGAGAUUGUUUGUCGCUGAUACAAGCAGUAGAUUUCAGAAAAAUAUGCAAGCAUGUAUCUAUAUGUGUGAGAGAGAAAUAAGAUACCCAUAAUCUUACAUAUUUCAGUUUAUAUAGCCACAGCUAUUUAAACAAUUCCAAAACUGCCUCUCCGGGUGUUAGAGAGGGAGGGAAAUCUUCAGCCACAUGAUCUUCUCUCCAGAGUCCUGUUAAAUCCACUGAACUUAAAACAGAACAAGAAGUGUGAAAUAUGGGUUUGAACAUGUUAUGUCAGAAAUGUAAAGGUUGGAAGCCUUUUUAGUAACUGAUAUUAAUAUUGUAUUAAAUGUUAUGAAAAGGUAGGUGUUGGAGAGAAGGGCUGGGCUCAUGUGCAAUUUUGUCAAGGUUUUUAUCUGUGAUUAUGAUUCCAGAUGUAUCUAUUCCCUGAGGAGAAAAAUGAAGUAAAGUUGGCAUGUGACAUGUGUUUUAAGGUGUUUGGCACAGUUUCCCAAAGUGAUGACAAAAUGUUCAUUUUUAUUACUGUGAAUUGGUAAAGAAAAUAUGAUUCUGAAGGUCAGUGGCUGUGUAUUCAAGAUAGCUGUGGAGAGUUAUUUUGGGGAAUAUGGAUUUUAGGUGGUGUGCUUAGAUUUACUUGCCUGACUCGAGCUUUUACCAUAGUAAAUAAUAAUUUGCAUAGAAUAUUUUUACAAAAUAUGAUUUUUUGAUAACUGCUAAUCCAAUAAAAUUCAAUCGCAGAAUAUGGUAAAGAUUGCAAAAAUGUCUCUUUUGAAUCUGGUAGUGUAGCUGCUUCUUAAUGGUUUGUUUUUAAUCUAAUUUAUAGUGACUAAGCUGGUUGCUGUACAGUUAAGAGCUGAAAUAACUGCAGUAAGGCUCUUUGUCGCAGAACAGUUGUUAGAGUAAACAGAUGGAUUUUUAUUUUCUUUAAACAAAGUGGCGAAGGUAGCUUUGUUGGUGAAAAAUGUUUUGUCUAAAUGCACGCUAAGACUUUAGAGGAGAAAGUUCCUGUGAUUACCCAGCUCCCCUUCUCUUCCCUGCAAAGCCCUUCUGCGUGUAACAGAAUCAGUAAUUCCAUGCUGACAGCAGGGCACCCAGGGCUACAUUACCAGGCAAACACUCACUCAUAAACAUUUUACAAGUUCAAUACCAACCAAUCCUGGCGGUUUGGGAGGCUGCCCUGAUUGGGUAUAGCAUGGAUUUGGUAAACACGGCUACAUAACAAAAAUAAGGUUUGUAGAGAAAGACUCCAACUGUAUUGCCUCUGCGGAAUAAUCAGGGACGAAGAAUAUGAUUAAUUCCAUAUUUUAUAAGUAAACUUCCACAGCUCUGUGUCCAUCUGCAAAUAUUCAGAGUGAUGUGCUCGAUACAUUCCUUUCUGUUCUACAACCACAUUUCUUUGUGAAUUUAACCACAUCAGAAAGCACUUUGGAUUUCUAACACAAAUAUUAGAUGCAUUUAAUGUAAGGAAGCUUCCUUUAUUGGAGGUGAUUGGGAACAUUUUGUAUUUUAUAGGUAUAUUUAAGAGGUUAGCGGUAGGGGGGAAUCGUCUGUGGAAAAUCUGUCUACAGCUGAAAUUUUUAGAUGCAGAAGUGUUGCUGAAAUGCCUAAAUACAUUCACAUUCUUUUAUUAAGUAGCUCACAAGAGUAUCCUGUCAGAUACCAGAUACUUCUUUAUUAUUUUUUUAAGUUGAAUAGUGUUAAUUUCAGUAGGAUAUGCUUGUUUUCAUUCUUCUGUGUGCAAUUAGAAGAUUUGCAUUCUCAAGGGCUUUACUGUUUAUCUACAAUCUUAUUUUUUUUUGUAUAAUCUUCUGCAACUUUAUUUAUCUUCAGUGCAUGCAUGAGAAGCGUAAAGCUACUCAUUUCCUACUAAAUUAUUGAUAUGAUUUACAAGUUUUCACAGAUUAAUUUUCCAUGGGGUAAUUUUUCUGGACUAUAAAAUAGCCAUAGUUAAAGAAUGCCAAAGGUUUAAGUAUUUUAUAGUACAAUUUAGAAGUCCAUUUUUGAAGUCCUCGUUUUUAUAUUUUAGAUUUAGAAUCCUAUUUAUAUUUCAGUAUAAGAAAAAAUAAUAUGGAGUGUUUGAAAAUCAGAACUGUGGUAUUUUUCAGAUAUUGAAAUCAGCCUGCCUAAUGAGAGCUGAAGACUUGCUCACUGGAUUUAUUUAAAAGCAGUACUCUUACAUAUUCAUAAAUUAAAAUGGCAGUUUUCAAUGAGAUACUUAUUACUGUUUUACUUGUUAUUUGCAAGAUACCUGACCAUUUAAUAUUUGUCCUUUAUUUCUCUGAGCUGAUCUAAUUGCACCUCUCUAUUUUGCAUUUAUUUCUCUUUGCAAACACUACAUUAUUCACUCUCUCCUGUGCUUAUUAAACAGUGCCACCUGCACCAAAUGAAACAAAGCUUCUCCAUCAAUCUAUCCCAGCUAAAGCACCCUGACUAUAUAUUAUAAUUAAUUGAAGCUCAAUUGAACACUUGAGUCUGAACUAGAUACAGUAACCUGGAAAAAAAAAAAAAAAAAAAAAAAGUUAAAAAAUUAGGAUGUACUUUAAAGAAAUCUUUUAAAUGAAAAUGUUCACUCUAAACUGAGAACCUAACCUUGUACCAAGCACUCUUCAUCAUCUCCGCACAGUACCUCAAGUAGCAAUUAGCAGGUCCUUUAAUUAAUUAACUAUUCCCUGUACAUCACAGGGAUUUUUGUGGCACUAACGUCAUCCUUCAUAAGUGAAUACCAAAUCCAGUCAAUAUUUUGUCACUAUAAAUCCUUAUCUGGACUACCCGAAUGCCCACCGCAUGUCUCUGCAAAAAUGAUUUGAAAACACAGCAAGCAGGUAUGGAAAGCAGAUGCAAACUUUACAGGACUAGCCUAGGCAAUUAGAACAGAUACAGCUGAAAGGGGAGGUAAAUGCAGGGUACCUCACGUGUAAAUGCUCGCAAUCAGAAGAAAUCAGGUAAGACACAAAGUGAAAUAGGAAUGAUGAAUUCCUAUUUACUUAACUACAAAUAUAGUUAAGUAAAAUUAUUUUACAAGAAAACGCUGAAUGGGUAUUCAAAGGGCUGUGGGCUCUGCUCACUGUGCUGCUUAUCUUUAACACUGUCUGCUCUCAGACAAGAACAGAUUAAUUAAGUGGCAGGUCAGACACAAGGAGGUGAAAGGGCAUUUCCAACCAAUCGCUGACAUUUCACCAAUUUUAUACUUUGCAAACUUUUUAUGUAAGUAUGGAUGUGGCUGGUUGUUUUCAAUGCAGUUCUCCUUUGGAGAAAUCCUAAGUGGCUUUAAGGGAAUUAAUAUCUGAAAAUGAGAUACAAGGUAUUGCUGGUUUUACAGUUUACAAAAGAUGCGGUAUGUAAAUUUGUUUAUAUAAAUAUGUAUAAGAUACAUGACUGUGAGGCUAUGUGUGUGUGUGUGAAUGAACAUAUGUGUGUAUAUCCAGCUCUCUAUUUGUAGCUUCAGACACAGACAUAUGUUAUCAUUUCUUAGAGGCAAAUAUCUGCAGAAAUAAUUCUUUGUGUUCAGUAGUUUUCUUUAAUGUGUAGUACAUUUAUCUUAACUGAUCUCUGUGUUCAGGGAAGAUCUUGUGAAUUUAUGUACAGCAUAAUGAAAUCAAAUAAAGCAUGUCUUACGAUUUUGCAAGAAUUAUACAUUAGCAUUUUCUUUCAAUGCAUGUAAUAUUUUGAAUUAGGGAAUAAACUUGAUAGUUAAUUUAAUAUAUAAAUAUAUGGUGGACUUGAAGAAAUAGACACUGGAAAUCUCAAGUAAGAAAAAAGGAAUAAUUAUU
Long non-coding RNA from Oxyura jamaicensis (ruddy duck), 5342 nucleotides. RefSeq lists it as uncharacterized. The record is from RefSeq and is a predicted model, not a curated record. The transcript is spliced from 3 exons. NCBI's taxonomy places the organism in Eukaryota, Metazoa, Chordata, Aves, Anseriformes, Anatidae.